Molecule: long non-coding RNA, 1802 nt
Organism: Astatotilapia calliptera (eastern happy)
Lineage: Eukaryota; Metazoa; Chordata; Actinopteri; Cichliformes; Cichlidae
Source: Ensembl
UUGGGGUCAGUGCAUUAUAUAUUAGUCAUCUACAGAGGGUGCAAAAUGCUGCAGCUCGUCUUUUAACAGGCACUCGAAAGUUUGAGCACAUUUCCCCUGUUUUAGCUUCACUUCACUGGCUGCCCAUUUCUUUUAGGAUUCAUUUUAAAAUUCUUUUAUUUACUUUUAAAGCUCUCCAUGGCCUAGCUCCAUCUUAUCUCUCUGAGCUGCUACAGCCUUAUACACCCACCCGCUCUCUCAGGUCAGCUGAUCAGCUGCUCCUGAAGAUACCCAGGACUGGGCGUAAACUUAGAGGAGAUCGUGCUUUUGCUGUAGCAGCUCCAAAACUGUGGAACGAGCUUCCUUUAGAGAUCAGACAGGCCACUUCUUUAUCUGUUUUUAAGUCACUCUUGAAAACCCACCUCUUUACCCUGGCCUUUGACACCACGUGAGAUGUUGGUUUUUUAUUUUAGUUGUUUUUAGGUGAUUUGAUGCCGUUUUAUCUUGUUUUUGUUUUAACAUAGGGCUGUUUUAAUUUUGUUUUAUGUGUUUUAUUUAUUUAUUUUGCUGUUUUCUGUUAUUCUAUUGUUUUAACUUAUUUUCUGUACAGCACUUUGUUCCUGUGCUGGGUAUUUUAAAGUGCUUUAUAAAUAAAAUUGGAUUGGAUUGGAUUAUCUCACUUUACUUUGACCAUAAGCAAUCUGUCACAUCCACCAACUCAGCUCUAGUCAGAGUAUUUCAGAAACUGCAGAUAUGCUGGCAUUUGAAGAUGUCAGAAAAAGAAAAUAUCCAGUGAGUGGCAAAAAUGCUUUGUUGAUACUAGAGGUCAAAAGAGAAAGGCCACACUGCUUUAAGCUAUCAGGAAGGAAAAGUAACUUAAGUAACCACUCAUUACAAAAAAGCUAUGCACGAGUCUCUGAAUGCACAAUAGGUUGAACCUUGAAACAGAUGGAGUACAUCUACGCAAGACCGGGUGUCAAUCGUGUAAGAACAGGAUAUUAAGAGCUCGAUUCACAUGGGGUAACCAAAAUUGGACAACAGAAAAUAAAGUUGGGGGGGGAAAUGGCCUUGUCUGAUAUAUCUCAAAUUCUAUUGCAAUGUUCAGAUGGUACGAUCAGAAUUUGGAGUAAUCAACAUGAAAGCAUGGAUCCUUCCUCGCUAUCAGUGGGAUUAGAGUUGGGGCUGUUUUUGUUUUUUUGUUUUUUUUUCCCUUGGGAAAUAUCUUCUCACAGUCUUUGAGCUUAGUACCAGCUGACCACAGGCUACAUGAUUACUGCUGCUGAUCAUGUCCUUCAUGACCUUAAACAUGACGAUGAGUUCCAUGUACUCAAAUUGCUUUCACAGUUACCAGAUCUCAGUCCAGUAGAGCGACCACGGAAUGUAGCAGAACAGGAGAUUCCCAUCAUUGAUGUGUAGCCAACAGAUCUAUGUGAUGCUGUCAUGUUAUCAUUUUGUUGAAUCCUUGAUCCAGAACAAUCUCAGUCUCAUCAAAGUUUUUUUUUUUCUAUUCAAGUGAGAACUUCCUCUUGUAAUCCUGUUGUGUAUGUUUCACAGCACAGACAUCCAUGGAGUCCUGUCACUUCUUAAAUUACUGUUUUGAUCAGACAAGGAAAAACUGCAGAUCUCUCUCGGGACAGAGACAAACAUUUCUCUUUCAAACAUGCAUCCUAGUGUUCCUCGGGACGAACAGAUGGAAAUAAUUCCUUGUAUUCAUUUUAAAGUGUUGGGUUAGCACACAAUCGCGCAUCUUGAUGUAGACUUUUAGAUAUUUUGCUCCUAUUGCUUGAAUUCCUGUUCAUUGCCCUACAAGGUCUGCAAAAACA